Molecule: ribosomal RNA, 459 nt
Filed under: uncultured bacterium
Lineage: Bacteria
Description: partial 16S ribosomal RNA
Rfam family: Bacterial small subunit ribosomal RNA
Source: RNAcentral
CCUACGGGGGACAGCAGUGAGGAAUAUUGGUCAAUGGUCGGGAGACUGAACCAGCCAAGCCGCGUGCGGGAGGAAGGUACAGAGUAUCGUAAACCUCUUUUGUCAGGGAACAAAGACUGGGACGCGUCCCCGGAGGAGUGUACCUGAAGAAAAAGCAUCGGCUAACUCCGUGCCAGCAGCCGCGGUAAUACGGAGGAUGCAAGCGUUCUUCGGAUUUAUUGGGUGUAAGGGGUGCGUGGUGGGUCGGUACAGUCAGCGGUCAAAGCCCGGGGCUCAGCCCCGGCCCGCCGUUGAAACUGGCAGUCUCGAGUUGGAGAGAAGUAUGCGGAAUGCGCGGUGUAGCGGUGAAAUGCAUAGCUAUCGCGCAGAACUCCGAUUGCGAAGGCAGCAUGCCGGCUCCACACUGACGCUGAGGCACGAAAGCGUGGGUAUCGAACAGGAUUAGAUACCCCGGUAGUC